AUGUCUGAUAGGCUGGUGUCUAACAAUUUAGAUGAACUAAUAAACAAUGUGCAUCAUGAAUAUGAUGCCUAUGAUGCCGAUAAGAUAAACAGAAUUUUCCUAACACUACAAAGCUGCUUAAUUGAGGUCAUGAAGAGAGGUGGAGGCAACGACUACAAGAUCCCUCACAUGUACAAGGAUGGCCUAGAACGAGCAGGAAAUCUUCCUAAUGUUUUAGACUGCGAUUGCGGACUAUAUGAGAGCGUCACGCAGGCCUUAGCCGACUAG
Molecule: ribosomal RNA, 267 nt
Filed under: Triticum aestivum (bread wheat)
Lineage: Eukaryota; Viridiplantae; Streptophyta; Magnoliopsida; Poales; Poaceae
Description: partial small subunit ribosomal RNA
Source: RNAcentral